This 433-nucleotide ribosomal RNA is filed under the name uncultured bacterium. Its description in RNAcentral is "partial 16S ribosomal RNA". It matches the Rfam family "Bacterial small subunit ribosomal RNA", at positions 29 to 507 of the family's 1533-position model. The record is from RNAcentral.
AACGAACGCUGGCGGCAUGCCUAACACAUGCAAGUCGAACGAGACCUUCGGGUCUAGUGGCGCACGGGUGCGUAACGCGUGGGAACCUGCCCUUAGGUUCGGAAUAACUCCCCGAAAGGGGUGCUAAUACCGGAUAAUGUCUUCGGACCAAAGAUUUAUCGCCUUUGGAUGGGCCCGCGUUGGAUUAGCUAGUUGGUAGGGUAAAAGCCUACCAAGGCGAGGAUCCAUAGCUGGUCUGAGAGGAUGAUCAGCCACACUGGGACUGAGACACGGCCCAGACUCCUACGGGAGGCAGCAGUGGGGAAUAUUGGACAAUGGGCGAAAGCCUGAUACAGCAAUGCCGGGUGAGUGAUGAAGGCCUUAGGGUUGUAAAGCUCUUUUACCCGGGAUGAUAAUGACAGUACCGGGAGAAUAAGCACCGGCUAACUCCGUG